Molecule: ribosomal RNA, 869 nt
Filed under: uncultured bacterium
Lineage: Bacteria
Description: bacterial SSU rRNA
Rfam family: Bacterial small subunit ribosomal RNA
Source: RNAcentral
CAUGCAAGUCGAACGAGCGAGAGAGAGCUUGCUUUCUCGAGCGAGUGGCGAACGGGUGAGUAACGCGUGAGGAACCUGCCUCAAAGAGGGGGACAACAGUUGGAAACGACUGCUAAUACCGCAUAAGCCCACGACCCGGCAUCGGGUAGAGGGAAAAGGAGCAAUCCGCUUUGAGAUGGCCUCGCGUCCGAUUAGCUAGUUGGUGAGGUAACGGCCCACCAAGGCAACGAUCGGUAGCCGGACUGAGAGGUUGAACGGCCACAUUGGGACUGAGACACGGCCCAGACUCCUACGGGAGGCAGCAGUGGGGAAUAUUGCACAAUGGGGGAAACCCUGAUGCAGCGACGCCGCGUGGAGGAAGAAGGUCUUCGGAUUGUAAACUCCUGUUGUUGAGGAAGAUAAUGACGGUACUCAACAAGGAAGUGACGGCUAACUACGUGCCAGCAGCCGCGGUAAAACGUAGGUCACAAGCGUUGUCCGGAAUUACUGGGUGUAAAGGGAGCGCAGGCGGGAAGACAAGUUGGAAGUGAAAUCCAUGGGCUCAACCCAUGAACUGCUUUCAAAACUGUUUUUCUUGAGUAGUGCAGAGGUAGGCGGAAUUCCCGGUGUAGCGGUGGAAUGCGUAGAUAUCGGGAGGAACACCAGUGGCGAAGGCGGCCUACUGGGCACCAACUGACGCUGAGGCUCGAAAGUGUGGGUAGCAAACAGGAUUAGAUACCCUGGUAGUCCACACCGUAAACGAUGAUUACUAGGUGUUGGAGGAUUGACCCCUUCAGUGCCGCAGUUAACACAAUAAGUAAUCCACCUGGGGAGUACGACCGCAAGGUUGAAACUCAAAGGAAUUGACGGGGGCCCGCACAAGCAGUGGA